AACGAACGCUGGCGGCAUGCCUAACACAUGCAAGUCGAACGAAGGCUUCGGCCUUAGUGGCGCACGGGUGCGUAACGCGUGGGAAUCUGCCCUUUGGUUCGGAAUAACAGCUGGAAACGGCUGCUAAUACCGGAUGAUGACGAAAGUCCAAAGAUUUAUCGCCAGAGGAUGAGCCCGCGUUGGAUUAGGUAGUCGGUGGGGUAAAGGCCUACCAAGCCGACGAUCCAUAGCUGGUCUGAGAGGAUGAUCAGCCACACUGGGACUGAGACACGGCCCAGACUCCUACGGGAGGCAGCAGUGGGGAAUAUUGGACAAUGGGCGCAAGCCUGAUCCAGCAAUGCCGCGUGAGUGAUGAAGGCCCUAGGGUUGUAAAGCUCUUUUACCCGGGAAGAUAAUGACUGUACCGGGAGAAUAAGCCCCGGCUAACUCCGUG
This 433-nucleotide ribosomal RNA is filed under the name uncultured bacterium. RNAcentral describes it as "partial 16S ribosomal RNA". It matches the Rfam family "Bacterial small subunit ribosomal RNA", at positions 29 to 507 of the family's 1533-position model. The record is from RNAcentral.